Long non-coding RNA from Gymnodraco acuticeps, 967 nucleotides. RefSeq lists it as uncharacterized. Lineage: Eukaryota; Metazoa; Chordata; Actinopteri; Perciformes; Bathydraconidae. The record is from RefSeq and is a predicted model, not a curated record. The transcript is spliced from 3 exons.
CAUUGUACGUGAAUGCAUCAUCAAUUAAAAAAAAUCCAAUAGUAUAAUACCCUUAUAUCACAAAUGUAACGUCUUUAAAACUUUUUUAUACAACCACUUUACUAAUCAUUUUUACAUUAAAAUAUGUUGUAACCUUUUCCUGGACAUAAACAUUGAUUUCUGUAGAGUUUAAAGCAGUCCUACCCGAGAUUGUCAAUUCCUUUAACCCAGAAGUCAAUUCCCUUAAAUCCAAAUCUUUCAGUUUCCCUCUGACUGGCCGAUGGGAGGUUAUAAACACGGAAUUCCCCUGUUUGUAGAACCAUUAAGUCAACAAUACAGCAAGUCCUCCAGAGGCUCAGCGGGGACGGACGGAUGCAGGUCUCUUCGGGUUGGAGCCUGCAGUAAUUAAACACAUCCAUCAGAUCAUGACAGUGUUGUCAGGAACGGCACACCGGGGAACGGUAACCAUGACAACCGCGAGGCAGCCACUGGUUUCCCGAUCCUUUCACGCCAUCAAUAUAUGAAACUUGCUUCAGAGAGCCAAUCCAUCACAAUGGCAACACACUCUCCUGUGUUCGGUAAUAGGUGGAUGUUUAUUUUUCUUGAAAGAGGUGUCAACCCUUUAUAAACAAUGGUAAAUUCAGCAAAGGGUGGAGUCAGUUAUAAUCCAUGUUACAUCUGCAGCUUAAGUCCUUUUGGAAUUUCAAAUGUGUGGACGAUUCAAAGUGAGUAAACAUUGAGAUUAAGCACCCAUUAAGUCUGCACCUGGAGUAGUAGAAAGAAGGCAGCAUGAUUAUAUCUCACUGCUAUCACCUAUUCAUUAUUUAAUUCUUACUUUCAUAAAUAAAUAUCAGUUAAAAUCCACAAUUGUGUGUGUCUUCCUUCCUUGUUAGGUAGCUAGCCAGCCGUAACAUUACUCUUAUCAUUGAAUGUAUUGUUGUUACCUUAUAAAUGUUUCCAGGAAAUAAAGUAGUAGACAAUAUUAUAA